CCUACGGGAGGCAGCAGUGGGGAAUAUUGGACAAUGGGGGGAACCCUGAUCCAGCGACGCCGCGUGAGUGAAGAAGUAUCUCGGUAUGUAAAGCUCUAUCAGCCGGGAAGAAAGAAAUGACGGUACCUGACUAAGAAGCCCCGGCUAACUACGUGCCAGCAGCCGCGGUAAGACGUAGGGGGCAAGCGUUAUCCGGAUUUACGGGGUGUAAGGGGAGCGUAGACGGCUGAGCAAGUCUGAAGUGAAAGGCGGGGGCCCAACCCCCGGACUGCUUUGGAAACUGUAUAGCUAGAGUGCAGGGGAGGUAAGUGGAAUGCCGAGUGUAGCGGUGAAAUGCGGAGAUAUUAGGAGGAACACCAGUGGCGAAGGCGGCUUACGGGACUGUAACUGACGUUGAGGCUCGAAAGCGUGGGGAGCAAACAGGAUUAGAUACCCGUGUAGUC
RNAcentral lists this ribosomal RNA (443 nucleotides) under uncultured bacterium. Its description in RNAcentral is "partial 16S ribosomal RNA". It matches the Rfam family "Bacterial small subunit ribosomal RNA", at positions 338 to 795 of the family's 1533-position model. The record is from RNAcentral.